RNAcentral lists this unclassified non-coding RNA (439 nucleotides) under Hevea brasiliensis (rubber tree). Lineage: Eukaryota; Viridiplantae; Streptophyta; Magnoliopsida; Malpighiales; Euphorbiaceae. The record is from RNAcentral.
CACAAUUCAACAAGCAUAUACAGUCUGAAGAUCUAAUUGUUGUACAAGAACAAUAAAUGAAGCAUUUACGUCUUCCUAGAAUAGAGACCCGUAAGCAGCAGUCUCCUACUAGUUAUCUUGGAGCAACAAUGCUCUACAACGUUUCAUGAGCUCCACCAUUUAUGGUGUCAUACUCAUUUUUUUCUUGUCAGUUGUUCUCUAAUCUCUCUCUCUCUUACCUUUUAAUGCCCACGAGAGGGGAAAGCUCAUCUUUUUUGCCAUUUGUGUCAAUAUUAGUAAGGUUAUGGUUCGUUGGUCCUUUUCUUCAUGUAGCGUGGUACUCGAUAUAGUUAGAGGACGGAACCUUUUCAACUUUUUAUCACUGAAUUAUAAAANNNNAUAAAAUUUCUGUUUUCAGUUCCCAUCAAUUGGUUAAAAUAGAUACCACUUUGAAACAAUU